UGCCUGCCGGUGACCAUGAGUUUAACGGCCGCGGUAUUCUGACCGCGCAAAGGUAGCGUAAUCACUUGUCUUCUAAAUAAAGACUAGUAUGAACGGCCACACGAAGACUUGACUGUCUCCCUAGUCCAAUCAGUGAAACUAAUCUCCUCGUGCAGAAGCGAGAAUACACCCAUUAGACGAGAAGACCCUAUGGAGCUUUAAACUCAAAUUAAUUAUAUUUUACUCUUCUCUAAGGAACUAACAACUUUCUUAACUAAUAUUAGUUUUAGGUUGGGGCGACCAUGGAGAAAAAAAUAUCCUCCCUGAUGAUUUUCUAACCAAGAGCUACAGCUCUAAGUAUUAAGACCCUUAACUCCCAUUGACCCAUUUUAUGAUCAACGAACCAAGUUACCCUAGGGAUAACAGCGCAAUCCAUUUCAAGAGUUCCUAUCGACAAAUGGGUUUACGACCUCGAUGUUGGAUCAGGGCAUCCUAGUGGUGCAACCGCUACUAACGGUUCGUUUGUUCAACGAUUAAAGCCCUACGUGAUCG
This 531-nucleotide ribosomal RNA is filed under the name Xenophrys mangshanensis (Mangshan horned toad). Its description in RNAcentral is "partial 16S ribosomal RNA". It matches the Rfam family "Bacterial large subunit ribosomal RNA", at positions 1856 to 2606 of the family's 2925-position model. Lineage: Eukaryota; Metazoa; Chordata; Amphibia; Anura; Megophryidae. The record is from RNAcentral.